AUGGGCUGGUCGCACCCUGUGCAGGAGUCAGUCUCAGUCAGGACACAGCAUGGACAUGAGGGUCCCCGCUCAGCUCCUGGGGCUCCUGCUACUCUGGCUCCGAGGUGCCAGAUGUGACAUCCAGAUGACCCAGUCUCCAUCCUCCCUGUCUGCAUCUGUAGGAGACAGAGUCACCAUCACUUGCCGGUUUGCAAAGUGGGGUCCCAUCAAGGUUCAGUGGCAGUGGAUCUGGGACAGAUUUCACUCUCACCAUCAGCAGUCUGCAACCUGAAGAUUUUGCAACUUACUACUGUCAACAGAGUUACAGUACCCCUCCCACA
This 320-nucleotide long non-coding RNA is filed under the name Homo sapiens (human). RNAcentral's name for it is "HSALNT0304200". Lineage: Eukaryota; Metazoa; Chordata; Mammalia; Primates; Hominidae. The record is from RNAcentral.